This 253-nucleotide ribosomal RNA is filed under the name uncultured bacterium. Its description in RNAcentral is "partial 16S ribosomal RNA". It matches the Rfam family "Bacterial small subunit ribosomal RNA", at positions 524 to 776 of the family's 1533-position model. The record is from RNAcentral.
UACGUAGGUGGCAAGCGUUGUCCGGAUUUACUGGGCGUAAAGGGCGUGCAGGCGGUCUGUUAAGUGCAGGGUGAAAGCUCCCGGCUCAACUGGGAGAGGUCCUUGCAUACUGGCGGACUUGAGGGGGGUAGAGGAAAGUGGAAUUCCGAGUGUAGAGGUGAAAUUCGUAGAUAUUCGGAAGAACACCAGUGGCGAAGGCGACUCACUGGACACAUAUUGACGCUGAGGUGCGAAAGCGUGGGGAGCAAACAGG